This 1150-nucleotide ribosomal RNA is filed under the name uncultured Actinomycetes bacterium. Its description in RNAcentral is "bacterial SSU rRNA". It matches the Rfam family "Bacterial small subunit ribosomal RNA", at positions 12 to 1197 of the family's 1533-position model. Lineage: Bacteria; Bacillati; Actinomycetota; Actinomycetes. The record is from RNAcentral.
UUGGAUCCUGGCUCAGGACGAACGCUGGCGGCGUGCUUAACACAUGCAAGUCGAGCGAGCCUUCGGGUUAGCGGCGAACGGGUGAGUAACACGUGAGCAACCUGCCUUCCGCUCUGGGAUAGCCUCCGGAAACGGGGAUUAAUACCGGAUAGGACUUGUGCCCUCAUGGGUGCGGGUGGAAAGUUUUUCGGCGGGAGAGGGGCCCGCGGCCUAUCAGCUUGUUGGGGGGGUGACGGCCCACCAAGGCGACGACGGGUAGCCGGCCUGAGAGGGCGACCGGCCACACUGGGACUGAGACACGGCCCAGACUCCUGCGGGAGGCAGCAGUGGGGAAUAUUGCGCAAUGGGCGGAAGCCUGACGCAGCGACGCCGCGUGGGGGAUGACGGCCUUCGGGUUGUAAACCUCUUUCAGCAGGGGCGAAUCUGACGGUACCUGCAGAAGAAGCGCCGGCUAACUACGUGCCAGCAGCCGCGGUAAUACGUAGGGCGCGAGCGUUGUCCGGAAUUAUUGGGCGUAAAGAGCUCGUAGGCGGCUUGUCGCGUCUGCUGUGAAAUCCCGGGGCUUAACCCCGGGCGUGCAGUGGAUACGGGCAGGCUGGAGGCAGGCAGGGGAGAACGGAAUUCCCGGUGUAGCGGUGAAAUGCGCAGAUAUCGGGAGGAACACCGGUGGCGAAGGCGGUUCUCUGGGCCUGUUCUGACGCUGAGGAGCGAAAGCGUGGGGAGCGAACAGGAUUAGAUACCCUGGUAGUCCACGCCGUAAACGUUGGGCGCUAGGUGUGGGGUCCUUCCACGGAUUCUGUGCCGGAGCUAACGCAUUAAGCGCCCCGCCUGGGGAGUACGGCCGCAAGGCUAAAACUCAAAGGAAUUGACGGGGGCCCGCACAAGCGGCGGAGCAUGUUGCUUAAUUCGAUGCGACGCGAAGAACCUUACCAAGGUUUGACAUGGGCCGUUUACCUCCAGAGAUGGGGGGUCCUUCGGGGCGGUUCACAGGUGGUGCAUGGCUGUCGUCAGCUCGUGUCGUGAGAUGUUGGGUUAAGUCCCGCAACGAGCGCAACCCUCGUCCUAUGUUGCCAGCGGGUCAUGCCGGGGACUCAUGGGAGACUGCCGGGGUCAACUCGGAGGAAGGUGGGGAUGACGUCAAGUCUUCAUG